UACGUAGGGUGCGAGCGUUAAUCGGAAUUACUGGGCGUAAAGCGUGCGCAGGCGGUUAUUUAAGUCAGGUGUGAAAGCCCUGGGCUUAACCUAGGAAUUGCGCUUGAGACUGGAUAGCUUGGAGUGCGGCAGAGGGAGGUGGAAUUCCACGUGUAGCAGUGAAAUGCGUAGAGAUGUGGAGGAACACCGAUGGCGAAGGCAGCCCCCUGGGACCUGACUGACGCUCAUGUACGAAAGCGUGGGGAGCAAACAGG
This 254-nucleotide ribosomal RNA is filed under the name uncultured bacterium. Its description in RNAcentral is "partial 16S ribosomal RNA". It matches the Rfam family "Bacterial small subunit ribosomal RNA", at positions 524 to 776 of the family's 1533-position model. The record is from RNAcentral.